This is an RNA transcript of Mercurialis annua (annual mercury), 1998 nucleotides long. It is a transcript of the gene named serine/arginine-rich splicing factor SC35, with no coding region annotated. The record is from RefSeq and is a predicted model, not a curated record. NCBI's taxonomy places the organism in Eukaryota, Viridiplantae, Streptophyta, Magnoliopsida, Malpighiales, Euphorbiaceae. The transcript is spliced from 10 exons.
CCUAUGUAAAGAAUCAACACAUACAGCCACAACAACAUCAAACCCUAAUCCUAAUCUGUUCUCUAAAGUUGGAGAAAAUGUCUCACUUUGGCAGGUCAGGACCUCCCGAUAUCACCGAUACAUACUCCCUUCUCGUUCUCAACAUCACAUUCCGUACUACGGCUGAUGAUCUGUUUCCCCUUUUCGAUAAGUAUGGGAAGGUGGUCGAUAUCUUUAUCCCCAGAGACCGAAGGACCGGUGACUCGCGAGGAUUUGCAUUUGUGCGCUAUAAGUAUGCUGAUGAGGCAUCAAAGGCAGUAGAAAGGCUGGAUGGAAGAGUUGUUGAUGGUCGUGAGAUAACAGUUCAGUUUGCGAAAUAUGGGCCCAAUGCUGAAAGAAUUCAAAAAGGAAGAAUCAUGGAACCUGUUCCAAAAUCAAGAUACAAGUCACGCAGUCGCAGUCGCAGUCGUAGUCCUAAGAGAAGAAGCAAAGAUGACUAUCGAGAUAGAGACUACAAAAGGAGAAGUCGCAGCAGAAGCUUGGACAAAGUUGAGCGUGAUAAAUAUCGGGGAAGAGAGAGAGACUACCGUCGACGAAGUAGGAGUCGUAGUGCAAGUCCGGAUUAUUCUAAGGGUCGGGGCAGAGGUCGAUAUGACGAUGCGCGGAGGAGUACCAGUCGGUCAAUGGGAAGUGCAUCCCCUGUUAGGCGUAGCCCGAGUCCUCGAAAGAGUCCAUCUCCUCGCAAGGUUUCCCCUUCAAAGGGAGAAAGUCCUGAUAGACGUAGUCGUGAUGAUCGUUCUUUUACUCCGCGAAGUGUUUCACCUCGUGGACGGCCUGCUGCAUCUGGUAGUCCAUCCCCACAUAAUUCAGAUGUUGAUGAAUGAAGUUGCGCUUGUAUGGGAGAGUUGCAGAGAUAUAACAAGUGCAUUCUAUUGGCACAGUUACCAAUGUUGAUCACUUAAUAGCAUCAUUAAUGUUCUGGUCAGAAUUUAAUGUGCUAGUUUUGGUAGGGUUGGAAUUACUUUGGCACCUAUACAUUUCUAUGCCCAUCCUAAUGCUUUCUGUUUCUUAACAGUCUGUUUGGUACGUACGAACUAUGUUGUCUGUUUGGGAUCCAUAAAAGUUAUGAGAUCUAUGAUCGGGAAAGACUGCUAUGGGGGCAGAUGUGCAGAUUGUUGAUGCUCUGGCUAUUGUGGCUGUUGAUGCUGUUUGUUAAAUGUAGAUGGAUGAUCGUGAUUGUGAUUUCUCAUAAUUUUCUGAUCAUUGGUAAGAAACGAAGUCAGUCUUUUGUUUAUGUGUAGUACUUCGUGUCACUCAGUGGUCUGAUGUUGAUCUGGUUUAUUUCUGGUAUUUGAUUUGUUAUGCUUUGAGAAUAUGGUCAUGAGUUGGGGUUGUAGUUGCAUUCUAAAGGUGGGGUGCAAGAUGAACGUAUAUUUCCUGUAGAUGAUGCCGCACAUUAAUUGGACCUGUUAGUACGUCCAUGCGGAAACAUAUGUCAAACAUGGCAUGCUGCUUUGAAUAUCACAGCUGCAGUAAUUGGACAUGUGAGUAGCAUACGAGUCCGUGAUUGUAGCUGUGAAGUGGCAGCUGACACCUGGUCUCUUGUAUGAUAGUCAUGGUUCGUGAAUAGCUAAAGCAAGUGGUAAUGAACACCUGUAGCAUGCUGUUGCUGCCCUUGUUGAUUGGAACGUGUCAAUAGUGGUACUAGCAGUUUCGAUACUGAUGAUGGCUGUCUAGCUCUCUUGCUGGGUUGGGGUCAAUUCCAAAAGUUCUGCUUUGUCUAGUAAGAUUGCUCAUACCAUGUUUGGACUCAUAUGCUUCCGUAUCACUGGCACAGCUUGUCUUUAAUUACAAUUUGCAGAAUGUUAUUUGUUAAGAUGUUCUAUGCUUAUGUAGUAAGCUUGCUAAUGUCAACCCAUGAAUUCUUUGUAGUUCCAUUUUGGUGGCAUAAUUUUGCUUAUGUUGCCUUGAUGUGGCUGCUUAUGUUUUUUGUCGUUGAUACCGAGUUAGUUUUCUCAA